This 459-nucleotide ribosomal RNA is filed under the name uncultured bacterium. RNAcentral's name for it is "partial 16S ribosomal RNA". It matches the Rfam family "Bacterial small subunit ribosomal RNA", at positions 338 to 795 of the family's 1533-position model. The record is from RNAcentral.
CCUACGGGAGGCAGCAGUGAGGAAUAUUGGUCAAUGGGCGCGAGCCUGAACCAGCCAAGUCGCGUGAGGGAAGACGGUCCUAUGGAUUGUAAACCUCUUUUGUCGGGGAGCAAAAGACGCCACGCGUGGAGUUCCGAGAGUACCCGAAGAAAAAGCAGAGGCUAACUCCGGGCCAGCAGCCGCGGUAAUCCGGAGGAUGCGAGCGUUAGCCGGAUUUAUUGGGUUUAAAGGGUGCGCAGGCGGAAGAUCAAGUCAGCGGUAACAUUGAGAGGCUCAACCUCUUCGAGCCGUUGAAACUGGUUUUCUUGAGUGAGCGAGAAGUAUGCGGAAUGCGUGGUGUAGCGGUGAAAUGCAUAGAUAUCACGCAGAACUCCGAUUGCGAAGGCAGCAUACCGGCGCUCAACUGACGCUCAUGCACGAAAGUGUGGGUAUCGAACAGGAUUAGAUACCCUAGUAGUC